This 468-nucleotide ribosomal RNA is filed under the name uncultured bacterium. RNAcentral describes it as "partial 16S ribosomal RNA". It matches the Rfam family "Bacterial small subunit ribosomal RNA", at positions 28 to 507 of the family's 1533-position model. The record is from RNAcentral.
GACGAACGCUGGCGGCGUGCUUAACACAUGCAAGUCGAACGGAAAGGCCCUGCUUUUGUGGGGUGCUCGAGUGGCGAACGGGUGAGUAACACGUGAGUAACCUGCCCUUGACUUUGGGAUAACUUCAGGAAACUGGGGCUAAUACCGGAUAGGAGCUCCUGCUGCAUGGUGGGUGUUGGAAAGUUUCGGCGGUUGGGGAUGGACUCGCGGCUUAUCAGCUUGUUGGUGGGGUAGUGGCUUACCAAGGCUUUGACGGGUAGCCGGCCUGAGAGGGUGACCGGCCACAUUGGGACUGAGAUACGGCCCAGACUCCUACGGGAGGCAGCAGUGGGGAAUAUUGCAAAAUGGGCGGAAGCCUGAUGCAGCAACGCCGCGUGCGGGAUGACGGCCUUCGGGUUGUAAACCGCUUUCGCCUGUGACGAAGCGUGAGUGACGGUAAUGGGUAAAGAAGCACCGGCUAACUACGUG